GACGAACGCUGGCGGCGUGCCUAAUACAUGCAAGUAGAACGCUGAAGGAGGAGCUUGCUUCUCUGGAUGAGUUGCGAACGGGUGAGUAACGCGUAGGUAACCUGCCUGGUAGCGGGGGAUAACUAUUGGAAACGAUAGCUAAUACCGCAUAAGAGUAGAUGUUGCAUGACAUUUGCUUAAAAGGUGCAAUUGCAUCACUACCAGAUGGACCUGCGUUGUAUUAGCUAGUUGGUGGGGUAACGGCUCACCAAGGCGACGAUACAUAGCCGACCUGAGAGGGUGAUCGGCCACACUGGGACUGAGACACCGCCCAGACUCCUACGGGAGGCAGCAGUAGGGAAUCUUCGGCAAUGGACGGAAGUCUGACCGAGCAAAGCCGCGUGAGUGAAGAAGGUUUUCGGAUCGUAAAGCUCUGUUGUAAGAGAAGAACGAGUGUGAGAGUGGAAAGUUCACACUGUGACGGUAUCUUACCAGAAAGGGACGGCUAACUACGUG
Molecule: ribosomal RNA, 495 nt
Filed under: uncultured bacterium
Lineage: Bacteria
Description: partial 16S ribosomal RNA
Rfam family: Bacterial small subunit ribosomal RNA
Source: RNAcentral